AAGUCGAGCGGGUAGAGAGAAGCUUGCUUCUCUUGAGAGCGGCGGACGGGUGAGUAAUGCCUAGGAAUCUGCCUGGUAGUGGGGGAUAACGUUCGGAAACGGACGCUAAUACCGCAUACGUCCUACGGGAGAAAGCAGGGGACCUUCGGGCCUUGCGCUAUCAGAUGAGCCUAGGUCGGAUUAGCUAGUUGGUGAGGUAAUGGCUCACCAAGGCGACGAUCCGUAACUGGUCUGAGAGGAUGAUCAGUCACACUGGAACUGAGACACGGUCCAGACUCCUACGGGAGGCAGCAGUGGGGAAUAUUGGACAAUGGGCGAAAGCCCGAUCCAGCCAUGCCGCGUGUGUGAAGAAGGUCUUCGGAUUGUAAAGCACUUUAAGUUGGGAGGAAGGGCAGUAAAUUAAUACUUUGCUGUUUUGACGUUACCGACAGAAUAAGCACCGGCUAACUCUGUGCCAGCAGCCGCGGUAAU
RNAcentral lists this ribosomal RNA (471 nucleotides) under uncultured bacterium. Its description in RNAcentral is "bacterial SSU rRNA". It matches the Rfam family "Bacterial small subunit ribosomal RNA", at positions 59 to 524 of the family's 1533-position model. The record is from RNAcentral.